AUUGAACGCUGGCGGCAUGCCUUACACAUGCAAGUCGAACGGUAACGCGGGGCAACCUGGCGACGAGUGGCGAACGGGUGAGUAAAGCAUCGGAACGUGCCCAGUAGUGGGGGAUAGACCGGCGAAAGCCGGAUUAAUACCGCAUACGACCUAAGGGUGAAAGGGGGGGAUCGCAAGACCUCUCGCUAUUGGAGCGGCCGAUGUCAGAUUAGCUAGUUGGUGGGGUAAAAGCUCACCAAGGCGACGAUCUGUAGCUGGUCUGAGAGGACGACCAGCCACACUGGGACUGAGACACGGCCCAGACUCCUACGGGAGGCAGCAGUGGGGAAUUUUGGACAACGGACGAAAGUCUGAUCCAGCCAUGCCGCGUGCGGGAAGAAGGCCUUCGGGUUGUAAACCGCUUUUGUCAGGGAAGAAAUCCUUUGAGCUAAUACCUCGGGGGGAUGACGGUACCUGAAGAAUAAGCACCGGCUAACUACGUGCCAGCCGCCGCAGUAA
This 498-nucleotide ribosomal RNA is filed under the name uncultured bacterium. RNAcentral's name for it is "partial 16S ribosomal RNA". It matches the Rfam family "Bacterial small subunit ribosomal RNA", at positions 29 to 523 of the family's 1533-position model. The record is from RNAcentral.